This 776-nucleotide long non-coding RNA is filed under the name Pan troglodytes (chimpanzee). Its description in RNAcentral is "long non-coding RNA NONPTRT015392". Lineage: Eukaryota; Metazoa; Chordata; Mammalia; Primates; Hominidae. The record is from RNAcentral.
GCAGAGUCCUGACUCAUGGCCUGGGAUGCUGGGGUUCCUCCCCAAAGAAGCUCUUUUGGACCUGGGAGAAGGAGUAGGACUUUGAUACACCAUGGAGGGCAAAUGGGACAAACAAAACAGUCAAAGAGGAGAGCAGGGAGAGAAGACAGAUUCAGUGUUGCCCUCGGCAGAUGCAGAGGAAACGAGCUCAAAACCCUUUCACAUGUGCCGGGCGCAAGCGACGCUGCCCAGAAACCCCGCGCCAACCCCUGCAGCCGAGGAAUUGGAGCUUCUGUGUUACUCAAAACAAUGCAUCUGUCUUUCAUUACACUUGGAUUUAGAUGAAAUCGGGGCGCUUGUUGGCAAACCAGUGAAGAUUUCAAAUAAGAGAAAUUGUAUUAUAUUAGAAUCAUAACGUUUUAAAAAUAAUUCUGUAUUGAAGGAAGUUUUUAAAGAAUGGCUAAUGGUGCCUUACAUGCAAUGAAGCCCUUUCAUUCAUUCUUUCCCCCUGUCCCCCCAUUCUCAUCUUCACUGUCCUAAAUGAGGCCUCCCUGGCCCCUUGCCUGGGCCGUCACAGAGGCCUCUGAGUGAUGUUUCUCCUCCCAGCUUUCCCCUUUCUGCCAGGCUCCCUCCCUCCAGUUAGCUUCCCGAAGCCUGGACAGGGUGAACCGUCUUGAAGGCUUGAAUUUGAGCCCCCUCCUUGCUCACCCCACGCUGGGCCAGCACCUCUCCCCUGGGUUACCCUAGUGCGCUGUGCUUACCCGGAUCUCAACACUUAUCACAAGGAUGGAGGUUUG